CAUCCCAGUCCCUCCAGUUUCCCAUUCCCAGUUUCCCCAGUACCUGCACGGGGUACGUGCGGUCGGGGUCAAAGGCGCUCAGGUCCCAUUCCCAUCCCAGUUUCCCAUCCCAGUCUAUCCCAGUCCAUCCCAAUCCAUCCCAGUCCAUCCCAGUCCAUCCCAGUUUCCCAUCCCAGUCCAUCCCAGUCCAUCCCAGUUUCCCCAGUUCAUACCUGCAGCGGGUAUGUGCGGUCGGGGUCGAAGGCGCUCAGGUCCCAUUCCCAUCCCAGUCCAUCCCAGUCCAUCCCAGUUUACCCAGUCCAUCCCAGUUUCCCAUCCCAGU
This 322-nucleotide long non-coding RNA is filed under the name Zonotrichia albicollis (white-throated sparrow). RNAcentral describes it as "lncRNA (ENSZALG00000003162.1)". The record is from RNAcentral. Lineage: Eukaryota; Metazoa; Chordata; Aves; Passeriformes; Passerellidae.